This 382-nucleotide long non-coding RNA is filed under the name Vigna radiata. RNAcentral describes it as "long non-coding RNA (VRAD_LNC003893)". The record is from RNAcentral. Lineage: Eukaryota; Viridiplantae; Streptophyta; Magnoliopsida; Fabales; Fabaceae.
GGGGUUGAAAAAGAUGAAGGGAGAGAAAAUGGAAGAAAGCUAACGUAAUCUAGUUGGGAUGUGGAUUUGAGAACAAAGGUAGGAAAAGGAAUAACGCAACGCACAAAGCCACGUGACGCGGAACCACAUACAGACACCAUUAUGGAGAGAAAGGAGGGAGGUUUGCGUCUUUGCCGGUACCCAGUCAUCGUCACUCACGUCCACAUUUCACAGGUGCCAUAGUAUAUAUGUACAUCCUUCUCAUUUUUUUAUUUUUUAUUUUUUAUUUUUUCUCUCACUGUCUUUGCAUGGUGAAAAACAUUUUAUGCUUUUCUCAUCCUACUUCCACGCACUUGUGUUAUAUAUGUCCCCAGAUUUUUCUAUCGCAGAAUCUGGGUACACG